GCCCGUGUCAGUGAAGAGACUGAAACCCCCAGGCCUGUGGUCAGGAGAAAGCACCAGAGCUUGAAGUAUUCUUGAACUGAAGUCAGAGGGACACUUAAAAAGGUGGAUGUGAUGUCCCUCAGGAGCAGAUCAGAAUUUCAACGAUCCUCUCCUUCCCCU
Mauremys reevesii (Reeves's turtle) is the source of this 159-nucleotide long non-coding RNA. RefSeq lists it as uncharacterized. The record is from RefSeq and is a predicted model, not a curated record. The transcript has 3 exons. Lineage: Eukaryota; Metazoa; Chordata; Testudines; Geoemydidae.